Myiozetetes cayanensis is the source of this 213-nucleotide long non-coding RNA. RefSeq lists it as uncharacterized. The transcript has 3 exons. The record is from RefSeq and is a predicted model, not a curated record. NCBI's taxonomy places the organism in Eukaryota, Metazoa, Chordata, Aves, Passeriformes, Tyrannidae.
CAGCCCCAAGGGUGGCCCUGUGCCUCAUGCUGAGCUGCUGAGGAGGGCAGACAAGACAGGAUCAUCCUUGGGAAACAUCCUGGUGUGCACCAGCAGAGCCCCCAGGAUCCCCAACAGCACAAUGAAGCAGGGGCUGAGGAUGCUCGGGAGGAGCUCCAGAGUCCCUGCAAGAGAGAGGACAUGUCCAGCACUGCGUGGGACAGGAGGGGAGAG